UACGUAGGGAGCAAGCGUUGUCCGGAAUCAUUGGGCGUAAAGCGCGCGUAGGUGGCUUCGUAAGUCCGUUGUGAAAGUCAAAGGCUCAACCUUUGAAAGCCGAUGGAUACUGCGGAGCUAGAGUACGGAAGAGGCGAGUGGAAUUCCUGGUGUAGCGGUGGAAUGCGCAGAUAUCAGGAGGAACACCAAUAGCGAAGGCGGCCCGCUGGGCAGUGGCUGACGCUGAGGCGCGACAGCGUGGGGAGCAAACAGG
This 253-nucleotide ribosomal RNA is filed under the name uncultured bacterium. RNAcentral's name for it is "partial 16S ribosomal RNA". It matches the Rfam family "Bacterial small subunit ribosomal RNA", at positions 524 to 776 of the family's 1533-position model. The record is from RNAcentral.